GUCAAAGGGAAAACAAAAAUCGUUGUGCAUCAAACUCCUUAGGCUGCCGUGCAACUUGCCGCGCUUGCACAGUUUGGGCAAUCAAGCAGCACAACACCACACACUGCAGGGGCUUCCUUGGGAGAUUUCUUUGCUAGUGAACAUCUACAAACCCUGAAGACCCAGACAUCUGCAACAUCCUCCCGGGGCUUGGAUUUUACUAACCAUAACAUUGGAUCUACGGUCCAUGGAUAAUAAAAUGGGAAGCCUCUUCAGUCCAGAAAUCAUGGCAAAGUAAAGUUUUGAGGAUGGAUUUGAAAAUGGAUAAUGAGGAAGCUUUGCAGAAGUUUAUGGGGAAACCGUCCCAAGCAUGUGUGGCAGCCUGGUUGAAAAUGAAAAGAUGUUUGAAAAUUUAACAAGUGGGCAGUGGAGGCUGGCAUUAUGUGAUCACUGGAGGGUUCCUCGUUUGCUCUUCAGACACCAAAGCAGUGAGGACAACAUGUUUUCAAACCGUGUGCAUAAUGCAUGUCCCAGAGACUCUGUACAAAGCAGUCUUUCAAUAUUAUUAUGGUCUCCUACUAUGCUUGUCAGUGUGUCAUAUCAAUCAGUAAUCUGUUUAAAAUUCAUCCCUGUUCUGUGGGUCAAUACCAAGGCCUAGGGACACUUGUAUAUCAUUUAAGAUCUAUUUUCAAGUCAUCUGUGGUCCAUAGGCCAAAAUCCCAAACCAUGUUUAAUGAUCUAAUGUUGUACAAUAACUAGGUCAUGUUAACACUUUUGACUCUCUGGGCUCAUUUUAUUCCAUCAGAAUUAACAUAAUACCUUGCAAGAGUCUUCUGUACAGGGUAGCAUUUCACCCUAUGCAAAUAAGCAGCUUUUUGUGUGUACAGGACAGAAACUGAGCUGUAUACUGAGUAUUGCCUCCAUCCGAAUGACCACUAUGUGAAACAAUCACUUUUUAAUAACUAGCCAUGGUGAAAAGUUUCAAUCCUGUUUGUAUACCAAUGUUAAAUAGCCUUACUAGCACCCUGACUGUGAGAUCUGUUAAGCACCAGUAACCUCUGCUUAUAGCCAUGAGAGCAGUGGGUACUCACACUUUCCAAAAUCAGGCCCUUCCUGGUUACAACCAUGACAAAAAGUGGAAUUACUCCUUUUGUGUUUGUGGCCUAAUAUACUUAUUCUACAAGAUUUCCAGCCCAUGUUUACAUACUUAAAAAGAUUGGAGAGCCCUCCCAAGCAUCUAAUUUCCUGGGUGUGAUUCUGAUCUUAUAUCACUGGUUUACAAUUUUUGAGAAGUCGUCUGCUUCAGAGAUAAA
Molecule: long non-coding RNA, 1292 nt
Organism: Trachemys scripta elegans
Lineage: Eukaryota; Metazoa; Chordata; Testudines; Emydidae
Exons: 4
Source: RefSeq, a predicted model, not a curated record